GUGUUGCAUGAAAGGAAAGAAGGUGGGCACUCCCCUUGACAAGGAUAGCAGAGCCCUUAGGCCUGACAACAAGUCUGACAGCAAGGCACCACAGCUACCCUGCCCAAUCUCCUCCCCAACCCCUCACUGUUAGCUAAAGCCCCUUA
This 146-nucleotide small nuclear RNA is filed under the name Saimiri boliviensis boliviensis (Bolivian squirrel monkey). The record is from RNAcentral. Lineage: Eukaryota; Metazoa; Chordata; Mammalia; Primates; Cebidae.